GAUCAUGGCUCGAGGACGAACGCUGGCGGCGUGCUUAACACAUGCAAGUCGAACGAUGAACCAGGGCUUGCCCUGGGAAUUAGUGGCGAACGGGUGAGUAACACGUGGGCAACCUGCCCCAGACACCGGGAUAACCAUCCGAAAGGAUGGCUAAUACCGGAUAUGACCACUUUGGGCAUCCAACGGUGGUGGAAAGGAUUCUGGUCUGGGAUGGGCCCGCGGCCUAUCAGCUAGGUGGUGGGGUAAUGGCCUACCAAGGCGACGACGGGUAGCCGGCCUGAGAGGGCGACCGGCCACACUGGGACUGAGACACGGCCCAGACUCCUACGGGAGGCAGCAGUGGGGAAUAUUGCGCAAUGGGCGAAAGCCUGACGCAGCGACGCCGCGUGAGGGACGAAGGUCUUCGGAUUGUAAACCUCUUUCAGCAGGGACGAAGCGAAAGUGACUGUACCUGCAGAAGAAGCACCGGCUAACUACGUG
This 480-nucleotide ribosomal RNA is filed under the name uncultured bacterium. Its description in RNAcentral is "bacterial SSU rRNA". It matches the Rfam family "Bacterial small subunit ribosomal RNA", at positions 15 to 507 of the family's 1533-position model. The record is from RNAcentral.